CUUAAUUUUUGGGUUUCCAUGUCUAACGUUUGACCGUCCGUUUUAUUUAAAAAAAUAUUAAAAAAAUAAAAAGAUAAGUCAUGAAUAAAAUAUUAUUCAUGUUUUAUUAUCUAACAAUAAUGAAAAUACUAAUAAAAAAAUUUCAUAUAAAACGGACGAUCAAACGUUGGACGCGGAAAGUC
Molecule: microRNA precursor, 182 nt
Filed under: Oryza nivara
Lineage: Eukaryota; Viridiplantae; Streptophyta; Magnoliopsida; Poales; Poaceae
Description: MIR812 microRNA precursor family
Rfam family: MIR812 microRNA precursor family
Source: Rfam by way of RNAcentral